This 258-nucleotide ribosomal RNA is filed under the name uncultured bacterium. RNAcentral describes it as "partial 16S ribosomal RNA". It matches the Rfam family "Bacterial small subunit ribosomal RNA", at positions 96 to 354 of the family's 1533-position model. The record is from RNAcentral.
UGGCGGACGGGUGAGUAACGCGUGGGUAACCUGCCUUGCACUGGGGGAUAACACUUAGAAAUAGGCGCUAAUACCGCAUAAGCGCACGGUCCUGCAUGGGACAGUGUGAAAAACUCCGGUGGUGCAAGAUGGACCCGCGUCUGAUUAGCUGGUUGGCGGGGUAAAGGCCCACCAAGGCGACGAUCAGUAGCCGGCCUGAGAGGGUGGACGGCCACAUUGGGACUGAGACACGGCCCAAACUCCUACGGGAGGCAGCAG